RNAcentral lists this ribosomal RNA (301 nucleotides) under uncultured bacterium. Its description in RNAcentral is "partial 16S ribosomal RNA". It matches the Rfam family "Bacterial small subunit ribosomal RNA", at positions 509 to 807 of the family's 1533-position model. The record is from RNAcentral.
CAGUAGCCGCGGGAAUACGUAGGUGGCAAGCGUUGUCCGGAAUUAUUGGGCGUAAAGCGCGCGCAGGUGGUUUAAUAAGUCUGAUGUGAAAGCCCACGGCUCAACCGUGGAGGGUCAUUGGAAACUGUUAAACUUGAGUGCAGGAGAGAAAAGUGGAAUUCCUAGUGUAGCGGUGAAAUGCGUAGAGAUUAGGAGGAACACCAGUGGCGAAGGCGGCUUUUUGGCCUGUAACUGACACUGAGGCGCGAAAGCGUGGGGAGCAAACAGGAUUAGAUACCCGAGUAGUCCCUGUCUCUUAUAC